CCACCAUUUGUGUGUUUUCAUGAUCAUAGAAUAAAUAAAAUCUCGAAAAACGCUUAUUUUUCAUUCUCUUUUUUUUAUUUCUCGUUUAGGUUAGAUUGGCCAUUUGGAGCAGUGGGACGGAGCGCAAAAUACCGGUGGUUUCAUAUCCAGCACCAAGUUGAUUCCAGUUCCAGAAAUUGUAGCUUCAGCGGAAGUGAUUCGGGAAGUUUCCGUAGCGAAAGCAAUUUCUCCAGCUACCAGUAUGCUUCCACAACGACGACUUCCCGCAUCAACAACCAUCAUUUGAUUGCCAAUAGGUAGAUAACUAUUCUGACCGAUCCACCUGAUGAACAGAGAUUUUUUCCGAUCUGGGAAGCAAUCGGGUCGGUGCAAAAAGUGUAAACAUAAAUCAAAUUGUGCAGUUUUACUUCUCAACAACCCGUUGCUCCAACGCUUACAAAUUCCGGUAAGCUAGAUUCAACGCCUCUUAGUUCCGUUCCGGUCAGUUUCGACAGUUCCAGAGUUGGUUGUACAUUCGACAUCGGAUCAACCGGGGAUAAAACUGGUGGAUAUCAAAUAGCGGAACUGGUUGAUCAGCUCGUUGAUCUGAAACAGGAAGAAGUGCUUAUGUGCAUAGAUUUUUCAAAUGUACGGUUCUCUAGCGACUGGUUCUCUAUGCCACGGACUUCGAAACCAACCGUACUUCUCAAAGGUGGUCCUGUCGUAAAUAUGCUGCUCAAGCAUCAGAGCCCCGAGCUAUUUAAACGCAAUAAAAAAGACAACUAGGAAAACACCCCACAAAUAGCCAACCCAACAAUGGUAACCGGUGACAAAGUUCCGCCUUCCGUUAUCAAACAACAGCAACAGGCAGUCCAACAGCAGCUUCAAAGCGAACCGAGCAAAGGAACUUGGACGACAGAUGGACCAGGAGAAACCUUCCUCGAGUCAAAAUUCUACCGCAUCCACAAUAAGCCGUGGUGAUGUGAUCAGUGCCAAACCAUCACUACGCUGCCGAUCGAGAAAGCUCUUCCCGUUAACGUAGACAUUACUGAUUACGAUCCACAACCGACUAACAUUUCCACGGCUACCACACAACCCACCUAAAGCGUUACCGUUUCUCCACAACGCAUCAAACACAGCGUGAUAGGCAUUACCCCGCCCCAACAACGGCCGUCAUUCCCUCGGUGGUUGCGCCAACAAUUUCCGGUUCUUAUAGAAAACAUCUACCCACCAGCAUCAGGAAUGUUCGCCCAAAACAACGUAGCAGACGCUGCUUAUACCUUUCCUUCUGGCGCUGUCGAUAAAGAAGCAGAAGAUAGUGACCACGUGUCGAUAGUGUCAUGCGAGACGAAUAGCUGCACAAAAUUUCUGUGAACCAUUCGAUUACGCUGGAACUGGAAAUCAUAGAGAAAAACAACAAGAGUUGCACUUGGAGUGCGAUCGAUUUUGCCGACGACGAACCUUAUAAAGAGACGUUCUGGUGAUCUUUUUUAGGUGAGUACUUAUUUGAAACAUUUUUGUUAACAUUUUUAUCUUUUUUUUAAUCUUUCAGAUUCUAUCGAACAUUCACAAACUGCGCUUCGAAGGCCCCACCCAAGAAGAACCGUAGGUAGAUUGUUUGAAAUGUCCCAUUUCUCACCACUCCCAACAAAAAUAAGAACUAAUUGAAUACCAAAAAAGGAAACCCAGUAGCGCCCACGACCAAUGAAGAGCCGUCGUCUGGUGGUGGAAACGGUUCCGAAGCCAUCGCAGUCUCAAGAUUUUUCAACAGCCCAUCAACACAACAACCUCAAACAAUAGCAUACUCAUCUGAAGGGAACCGUACUCAAGAGCUUUCAACUAUCAUUACUGGUCACUAGUCACCGCUGAUAGUACUCAGUACUGCUGGUGGCUCGAGCAGAAACAACUACGUCCUAUUAAACGUCUAACUGAAAAUUGGCAUGCUUUAGCAGCAAAAUCAACAGCAACACUCAGUGGUUGCACCGAUUAGUCUUGGUGACCGCGAAAAACCGAGUAGUUCUAAAUCGAGUAUCAGCUUUUCGCCGCCAAAGAAAGUCAUACUAAAGAGAGCAGUCCAUGGUCUCGAAAGAAAGUAAAUUUCAAGCCAGAUUUGAAACUAAAGUGUCUGUGGUCGAGUGGACUAAAAAGGCAUGCCCGAAAGAACGGUUCAUUCAUGGUUUCAGAAACCAUGAGGUCUGGUCUGCCAACAUAUCAGCAUCAAAUCAUUCAACAAGUGAACGGUAACAAUGGAAUUUAUUCAACAACUGAUCCAAGGGUAGGAACGAAGGCAAUCUCAUAUCAGUAUGGCAAUUUUCAUGAUAGACAAAUCAACACUAAGGCAAGGAAAUUGGAAUCACUUCUAUCAAUAUAUCUUGGCCAACGGAUUCACAAUAAUGGUGUCAAAAUGUCGAUAUUCCGCACGCAUAUCGCACACUUAGUUCAAAAAGGAAUGUGAUGGGAUAAUUAUCUGCUGUUGCAUUCCAGAAUUCCAGCUUAAUAAAAUGUCACCAAAUCAAGGAUUAUGAUUUGCACAAAUCCUAGAUUUAAUUCAAUAUAAUAAUCGGUCCACAUUAUAAAUUAUUCUACCGGCAAUUCUCCAAAUUUGUGUUUUAUCCGUCUUCAUCUUGACAAACAAAUUUCUCGGCUCGCCUGGGUUGCGAUGAGCUGAACAACAUAACCUCUAGGACUUUCGAACAUGUGAUGAAUUUUGUGGCUGGAACCACAAUAUUUCGAGAAAUUGUUUUCCCGUCGCAGCAGGAUUAUUAUACGGUAUUUUUCGUAGCUUAGGAAGGUUAGCUUCCGACGCCAUUUCUGUUUGCCUUCCUGAGAUUGAGAGGAAUCUAUUGGUCUGCCGGAUUUGGAGUACGACGAAACCUACGUUUACUCCCUCCACAGAAACUGGUGAUCCCGUUUAGGAUUAUAAAUUCCAAUGGUCCCGAUUACUAGGUGACUGUGGAUGUAUUUGCAAUUUUCUUAAAAAGUUUAAAGUUGUUUCUUGGCCUACUGCCCAGCGCCCAAUGGAACAAAAAAUGGUUAAACGGAGACGUUCCUGAAUCUGGGUUUGUUAUCGAAUCGGAGCUGUUGGGAUCAAACGAUACUGGAAACAUAGCUCAUUGCAAACCGGGGACACGGCAAAAUACGUUCAAGUAAUUAAUGUUUGGCUUAAAAUUAUGUUUUAAAGUGGUUUCUUGGCUCAGCGGCAAAUGAAACAACGAGAAAGUUUACGGCUAACAUGAUCAUGUGCCUAAAGAUACUCCUGUGGCAGGAUAAGAGUUCAUUUGUAAUUUGUUAAGUGAGGAGGGCAUUAAUAGAAUUCCUACAUAAAAAGCUAGGUUAUGUAAAACGAGAAU
Uranotaenia lowii is the source of this 3329-nucleotide long non-coding RNA. RefSeq lists it as uncharacterized. The transcript has 7 exons. NCBI's taxonomy places the organism in Eukaryota, Metazoa, Arthropoda, Insecta, Diptera, Culicidae. The record is from RefSeq and is a predicted model, not a curated record.